RNAcentral lists this ribosomal RNA (253 nucleotides) under uncultured bacterium. RNAcentral describes it as "partial 16S ribosomal RNA". It matches the Rfam family "Bacterial small subunit ribosomal RNA", at positions 524 to 776 of the family's 1533-position model. The record is from RNAcentral.
UACGUAGGGUGCGAGCGUUGUCCGGAAUUAUUGGGCGUAAAGAGCUCGUAGGCGGUCUGUCGCGUCUGCUGUGAAAGACCGGGGCUCAACUCCGGUUCUGCAGUGGGUACGGGCAGACUAGAGUGCAGUAGGGGAGACUGGAAUUCCUGGUGUAGCGGUGAAAUGCGCAGAUAUCAGGAGGAACACCGGUGGCGAAGGCGGAUCUCUGGGCCGUAACUGACGCUGAGGAGCGAAAGCAUGGGGAGCGAACAGG